UGUGGCUACAAAUGCAAUGAGUGAUCUCAGAGGUGGCUGAAUGCAGUGCUUUUCUGACUGGAAUGAUAAUGCCAACAGGAUGAUAAGAACUGAGAUGAAGCAUCCAAAAUGCCUUAUUAGCCUUUGAUGGGAUGUGAGGAGCUGCCAGGAUCUGCCUUUCAGCUGCAUUGUGUGUGGAAGUGCAGUGCUGCAGCAAUGUGGAGGGAAGGCCUAUUAGGGCUGCCUGAAGAGUUUGCAGAACGCAUGACAGAAUCCCACUUGAAAACAUUUUCUACUGCAGAAAUUGCUGUCUCAGGGGAAGGCGAAUAUAACAUCCCAGCGAUGCUUUCCCCUCUCUUGCAUCAACUUUGAAUCUGUGCCUGGCCAAGAGACUGGGAGCGCACUCUAACCGCGAGUACAAUUGAGUGUCUGUGCCAUGUCUAAUGGCUAUUAGUAUCGGACAAGGACUCUACACCACUUCAGAAUGGGUCUGUACWUCACCCU
Molecule: long non-coding RNA, 483 nt
Filed under: Dromaius novaehollandiae (emu)
Lineage: Eukaryota; Metazoa; Chordata; Aves; Casuariiformes; Dromaiidae
Description: lncRNA (ENSDNVG00000011699.1)
Source: RNAcentral